RNAcentral lists this long non-coding RNA (856 nucleotides) under Homo sapiens (human). RNAcentral describes it as "GRHL3 antisense RNA 1 (GRHL3-AS1)". Lineage: Eukaryota; Metazoa; Chordata; Mammalia; Primates; Hominidae. The record is from RNAcentral.
CCCGGGGCUGCCCAGGGCUGCGGGCUCCAGGCACCCAGAGCGCUGCGACCACAUGAAAGGCCCGGCGCUCAGCACCCGCCAGCCACCUCCAGCUGGUUUCUAACUACACCGCCGGGGCCUCCAUGCUUCUCAGAGACCAGCCUUCGAAGUGCCGCCUUACACCCGGGGCCUGGCCACCGGGCGGGCGCGGAUGGAGCUCUGGUCCACAUUUGGGAGCUCACAGUUGUUCCUGCCAGGAACCAGCCAGAACAGGAGGCAGCCAGGGAGAGGGGAGCCAGGGAGAACACAGCCUCAGUCCUGGAAGGAGAGGGCCUGCUGGGAAGAACAGAACCCAGCUGUCUUGGCCCCAGAUGUGGAAGCUGAGACUUAAAGAAGCUAUGAAACUUGAUCAGGUCAUGCAGCGCCAGAGGACCCAAGGUGGGAUCUCAACCCAGACUGUUUGGCUCCAAAGCUGAACUGCUACAUUACGUUGCUUCAGCAAACAGUCAUUCAGAGACAAUGGGCUUUAGAGGAGUUUAGUGAUGUUACUAACAAACAUAAGUACCUUGUACUAACCUCCUGGUGCCCAAGUGUUUGAGGUGAGAAAAACUGAAACAUGAAAAGCCCAGAGAGGUAAAGUGACUGGCUCAAGCAAAUACAGGCUCCAGCUGCAGCCACUUUGAAGAUAAAGUUUCCUCCAUAGAAAUUCUGCAAUACAGAUGUCCUUCCGCGGUCCCAGUUCAGUCCUGCACCAGUUCCUUUUCCCACUGGGAAAUUUCUUUCCUCUUCCUACUUCCAUGCAACUGCGAGGCAAGGCUCAAGCCCACUUCCUUCUCCUUUUCCUGUGCCUCCCUGUGGAGGGAGCUCCCUCUUCUUC